Molecule: microRNA precursor, 81 nt
Organism: Anolis carolinensis (green anole)
Lineage: Eukaryota; Metazoa; Chordata; Lepidosauria; Squamata; Anolidae
Source: Ensembl
GACGGUUCUGUCUUUCGGAUUUUCAGUCACAGUUUCCUUUGUUCUGGCGUCUGUGUGGGAUAAUCCGAAAGAGAAACCCUU